UUUCCGUAGGUGAACCUGCGGAAGGAUCCUUAUCGAGUUUUGACUGGGUUGUAGCUGGCCUUCCGAGGCUUGUGCACGCCCUGCUCAUCCACUGUAUACCUGUGCACUUACUGUAGGUAUCAGAUCGUGAAGCGUGCUCUUUUACCGGAUCUUGUAACGCGUGUCUGUGCCUGCGUUUAUCUCAAACACUAUAACGUAUUAGACUGUGUAUUACGAUGUAACGCAUCUAUAUACAACUUUCAGCAACGGAUCUCUUGGCUCUC
RNAcentral lists this unclassified non-coding RNA (263 nucleotides) under plant metagenome. RNAcentral describes it as "partial contains small subunit ribosomal RNA, internal transcribed spacer 1, and 5.8S ribosomal RNA". The record is from RNAcentral.